Pangasianodon hypophthalmus (striped catfish) is the source of this 550-nucleotide long non-coding RNA. RefSeq lists it as uncharacterized. The transcript is spliced from 3 exons. Lineage: Eukaryota; Metazoa; Chordata; Actinopteri; Siluriformes; Pangasiidae. The record is from RefSeq and is a predicted model, not a curated record.
UUUAUCCAGUUCCCUAGAUAUCACUGUUGCUUAUUAUAUAAUAAGAUACACUGAUGUAAUGAUUACAUUUCGUAAUGACAACUUCUUAUCGACAACUGAUCGAUUUUUAUCACAGUUAAAACAAAAUUCCUUGCUCCUCCUCCCCCCAUUCCACCGUUCAAUGGAAUGAUCCGUCUCCAUGAAACGCAUUUUUAAGCGCCAAAUAGAGCGCGCGUGACACUCAAAAGUGUCAGCACCUGUUGUGAGGACGUUGGCUUUGUGUGUGUGCGCGCGGGCGCACGUGCACGCGCUAAUUUUCCUCAUCCUUCAUGUUUAUAAAAUUUGAGUCCUUGUAGCUCACUGGAUCUCCAUCAGUCUCCAUCACUGGCUGCUUGGUGUAUUUCCAUCUUCCUCCAUUGCGUCUAAAUGACUAUGUGACUUCAGCACAAUCCCCCAGCUCAGACUUUGCCUGGAUGGCUUCAAGCAGUUCACCACCACCGUCUGCAUUCCUGGAUUCCCGCUCUGCCACCUUUAAAGGUUGCCUGCCUAGUGAGAGCACUGAACAGCGUGA